UAGGGAAUCUUCGGCAAUGGGGGGAACCCUGACCGAGCAACGCCGCGUGAGUGAAGAAGGUUUUCGGAUCGUAAAGCUCUGUUGUUAAGGAAGAACGAGUGUGAGAAUGGAAAGUUUUUGCUGUGACGGACCUUAACAAGAAAGGGACGGCUAACGACGUGCCACAGCCCGGGGUAAUACGUAGGUCCCGAGGGUUUUCCGGAUUUAUUGGGCGUAAAGUGAGCGCAGGCGGUUAGAAAAGUCUGAAGUGAAAGGCAGUGGCUCAACCAUUGUAGGCUUUGGAAACUGUUUAACUUGAGUGCAGGAGGGGAGAGUGGAAUUCCAUGUGUAGCGGUGAAAUGCGUAGAUAUAUGGAGGAACACCGGUGGCGAAAGCGGCUCUCUGGUCUGUAACUGACGCUGAGGCUCGAAAGCGUGGGGAGCGAACAGG
This 429-nucleotide ribosomal RNA is filed under the name Bacteroidota bacterium. RNAcentral's name for it is "Bacteroidetes bacterium partial 16S ribosomal RNA". It matches the Rfam family "Bacterial small subunit ribosomal RNA", at positions 355 to 776 of the family's 1533-position model. Lineage: Bacteria; Pseudomonadati; Bacteroidota. The record is from RNAcentral.